This 314-nucleotide signal recognition particle RNA is filed under the name Strongyloides ratti. RNAcentral describes it as "sRNA SRAE_2000600123". It matches the Rfam family "Metazoan signal recognition particle RNA". Rfam says of the family: The signal recognition particle (SRP) is a universally conserved ribonucleoprotein. It is involved in the co-translational targeting of proteins to membranes. Lineage: Eukaryota; Metazoa; Nematoda; Chromadorea; Rhabditida; Strongyloididae. The record is from RNAcentral.
GCCGGGAGUUGUGGCGGGCUCUUGUAAACCAGUUUCCAGGUGGCUUAGGAUGGGGAGGAUCUGCCUGUUGGAAGAACACCUGUCUGCUUUACGUCGUUGACCGAGUGUCCGUGUCAAGCGUAGCGUCGAUAGGCCAUCAGUUGGGGAACCUCCUGAUGACCGGUCGUAGUCAGUCCUCUGACUUAUAAAGAGAGAUGGAUGGCUCAGGCCCGUGAGGGAGCAGGCAAAAGUCUCCGCGCUAUGACAGUGACCGGAUGGCAUACGCGAGGCGUUGAGUUUCAGGUGCCAGUAGUAUAUGUUCCCACCUAUUCUUU